AUCCAGACUCCUACGGGAGGCAGCAGUAAGGGAUAUUGGUCAAUGGGGGAAACCCUGAACCAGCAACGCCGCGUGAGGGAAGACGGUUUUCGGAUUGUAAACCUCUGUCCUCUGUGAAGAUGAUGACGGUAGCAGAGGAGGAAGCACCGGCUAACUCCGUGCCAGCAGCCGCGGUAAUACGGGGGGUGCAAGCGUUGUCCGGAAUCAUUGGGCGUAAAGCGUUCGUAGGCAGCAAGGUAAGUCUGAUGUUAAAGCCCGGGGCUCAACUCCGGUUCGGCAUUGGAUACUAUCUAGCUAGAAUGUGGUAGAGGUAAAGGGAAUUCCUGGUGUAGCGGUGAAAUGCGUAGAUAUCAGGAGGAACAUCGGUGGCGAAAGCGCUUUACUGGACCAUUAUUGACGCUGAGGAACGAAAGCCAGGGGAGCAAAUGGGAUUAGAUACCCCUGUACCA
This 449-nucleotide ribosomal RNA is filed under the name uncultured bacterium. RNAcentral describes it as "partial 16S ribosomal RNA". It matches the Rfam family "Bacterial small subunit ribosomal RNA", at positions 329 to 797 of the family's 1533-position model. The record is from RNAcentral.